This 1749-nucleotide long non-coding RNA is filed under the name Bemisia tabaci. Its description in RNAcentral is "lncRNA ENSSWEETPG000907". The record is from RNAcentral. Lineage: Eukaryota; Metazoa; Arthropoda; Insecta; Hemiptera; Aleyrodidae.
AUGAUAGCAAUUGGUAACUCUAAGUUCGCUCUUUGUUUCAUUAUAGGAAAGCCUGUGGUGACCAGAGUGCGACCAAUUGCUCCGAAGCCGAGUCAGCUGGUGCUUCAUCAGGCACAACUGUCACUCAUUCAUCAGCGGAAUCAGAACGUUGUUCGACAGCAAACAACUCAGCAAUUUGUCGUCCGUCAGGUACCCCAGGCAGUCAUUAGACAACAUACUCAACAACCCCAGGCAAUCAUUAGACAACAAACUCAACAACCUCAGGCCGUCAUUCGACAACAGAAUCAACAACCUCAGGCAGUCAUUCGACAACCAAAUCAACAACCUCAGGCAGUCAUUCGACAACCAAAUCAACAACCUCAGGCAGUCAUUCGACAACCAAAUCAACAACCUCAGGCAGUCAUUCGACAACCAAAUCAACAACCUCACGCAGUCAUUCGAAAGCAAACUCAGCGCGCAGCAGAAGAAUGUUUGGCGCAAUUGGAUACUCUGGAUGAGACUGCUGCUGAUGCUCCAGACCUUCCUAAUAAUUCUGCCCCAGUAACACCAGCAGUAAAAACUAGACGAUACUGGAACACUGCUGUGGAUCCGGAUAUCUACCCGGAUGUAACAGAUGUUGGAGACUUGUUUCUAGACAUAUUGGCUAAGCCAGAAUUCUGGAAUUUACACAAUGAUUCAACAACAAGGAAAGAAACAGUGUGGCGAAAAAUCGCAGAGGAAUUAGAAAGGUUAGGCUACAAAGCGGAUGACAAUUUAUCUGUGGCUGCACGCAUCGUUGAGGUAAAAUUCAAUAACAUGAAAAGUAAAUACAAACUUUUAAAGAUAAUGGAGGGCCAGGGAGCACUGGAAACGCCGGGAAAAGAGUUCCCUCAUAUUAUGACAAAAUAGAUGCACUCCUUGGUGGCAAUGAUGAUAUAACGCCCCAAAGCGUUAUCGAUUCAUUAGAUGAUGUUGUCGAAUCAACCAGCAGCGAAUCCGGAGAAAAGUCAACCGAUACUAUAAUACGGCAUGUAAAUAAAGCUGCAAGCCUGGCACACCAAAAAAAACGAAAGCUUGACAAAUAAUGAUGGAAGAAAUGAAAGUAACGCGCGAACAAAUAGCUCAAAAUCACUCAGAGUUCAUGGAUUACAUGAAGACCGACAAGGAGAAGACCAGACAAAUACAAGAGAGGAACGCAACAGCAUUUGAGUCUUUGGUAGCUCAUCUGACUGGGAAACCCAGUGCCUCCAACAGUGAUAGCAAACUGACUUUACCUAACCUCACUGUAAUGUUCAGGACAUAUUCUCCUUCAUGAUUUUUUUUCCCAUUUUCUUUCUCAUUAAUUUCAUUCUUGAAUAAUAUUUUUUUUCAAUUUCUAAUCUAGCUAUUUAAUCUGGACGAAUAUUCUCCAGUAUGUUGAUAAACAUUCCAGACUCAUUAUUUUUAUAAGUGACAUGUGCAUCACAUACUUGCUGAAACUUUGGGUAUUUGUGAUUUAGGAAGUAAGAAUGGACUACUAGACAAGGUACGAAUUUUAGCAAUCUGAUACAUGUUUUCUUAACCAGAAUUUCACAUGAAACACGAUUCACACAACGAAAAUUACUGAAACCAACUCUUAACGAAGAUAUUAACGUUUUUAUUACGCAUUGGUUACGAGGAAUUUAAACUGCCCGCUUUCAAGAAACUUAAAGUUCUGCGUGAGUCAAAUCGCGCACUACAACGAUUUCAGCAAGCUUCUCAAUCGAGCAAUGUUCAUUCCCACCAUGUUUU